UAAAAGCUAUUAAGGGUGUAUGGGGAAUAUCUUGGCAGUAAGAGGCGAAGAAGGACGUAUAUUAGCCAGCGAAAUGCAUCGGGGAGUCGGCAAAUAGACUUUGAUCCGGUGAUGUCCGAAUGGGGAAACCUUGGUACUUGAAAGAGUAUCAACCAUGUAGUGAGUAAACUAGCUACAUAGGAGCGAACGAGGGGAAUUGAAACAUCUUAGUACCCUCAGGAAGAGUAAUCAAUUGAGAUUCCGGCAGUAGCGGCGAGCGAAAUCGGAAGAGCCCAAACCAGAGUACUUGUACUCCGGGGUUGUAGGACUCUCAUACGGAAAGGCAAUUAUAGGAGAACGGUCUGGGAAGUCCGGUCAAAGAAGGUGAAAACCCUGUAUCCGAAAUAAUUGUCCUCUAGAGAGUAUCCUGAGUAGGACGAGGCACGUGAAACCUUGUCUGAAGCUGGGGGGACCACCCUCCAAGGCAAAAUACUACUUACUGACCGAUAGUGAACUAGUACCGUGAGGGAAAGAUGAAAAGAACCCCGAUGAGGGGAGUGAAAUAGAUCUUGAAACCAUACACUUACAAACAGUCAGAGGGUUAUUGUAAAGCCUGAUGACGUACCUUUUGCAUUAUGAUUCAGCGAGUUACGAUGUGUUGCGAGGUUAAGCCGUUGAAGGUGUAGCCGUAGGGAAACCGAGUCUGAAUAGGGCGAUUAGUAGCACGUCGUAGACCCGAAACGGGAUGAGCUAGCCAUGAACAGGUUGAAGCGGGGGUAAUACCUCGUGGAGGACCGAACUCGUGACGGUUGAAAACGUCUGGGAUGAUUUGUGGUUAGGGGUGAAAGGCCAAUCAAAUUCCGUGAUAGCUGGUUCUCUCCGAAAUGCAUUUAGGUGCAGCGUCUGACGAAUACCAUUGGGGGUAUAGCACUGACUUGGCUAGGGGGCUUACCAGCUUACCAAACCAUAUCAAACUCACAAUACCAAUGAGUACUAUCAGGCAGUGACACAGUGGAUGCUAAGGUCCAUUGUGAAAAGGGAAAGAGCCCAGACCAUCAGCUAAGGUCCCAAAAUCGUCGCUAAGUGGUGAAGGUUGUGGAAUUACUUUGACAUCCAGGAGGUUGGCUUAGAAGCAGCCACCCUUUAAAGAAAGCGUAAUAGCUCACUGGACUAGUGAUUCUGCGCCGAAAAUGUAACGGGGCUAAAGUGACGUACCGAAGCUAUGGAUUAUGUAAAUAAUGGUAGGAGAGCAUUGUGUUUGCCGAUGAAGGUGUACCGUAAGGAGCACUGGAGGUCUCACAAGAGCUGAUGCUGAAAUGAGUAGCGAUAAGAAAUGUGAGAAUCAUUUCCGCCGUAAAUCUAAGGGUUCCUGGGCCAGGUGACUCCGCCCAGGGUUAGUCGGGUUCUAACAUGAGGCGAAAGGCGUAGUGGAUGACCAACAGGUUAAUAUUCCUGUACUUAGUAAAAAUCGUUUGACUAGAUGGAAUGACGGAGAAAGGUAGUGAAGCCACUUAUUGGUUGUGGUUUAAGUAUGUAGGGGUCGAUUAGGCAAAAUCCGGUCGGCGUAACUCUGAGAUACGAAUACGAGCGCAAGCGAAGUUCAUGAUCCUCUGCUUCCCAGAAAAGUUUCGCUAGGAGAUUUUUAUUAACCCGUACCAUAAACCGACACAGGUAGAUGAGGAGAGAAUCCUCAGGCGCUUGGGAGAACUCUUGUUAAGGAACUCUGCAAAUUGGUGCCGUAACUUCGGGAGAAGGCACGCCUUUGAUGGUAAUAUCACUUGCUGGUAAAGCUAUUGGAGGUCGCAGUGAAAAGGGGGUAGCGACUGUUUAUCAAAAACACAGGUCUAUGCAAACACGUAAGUGGAAGUAUAUGGGCUGACGCCUGCCCGGUGCUGGAAGGUUAAAAGGAGAGGUUAUCGCAAGAGAAGCUUUGAAUUGAAGCCCCAGUAAACGGCGGCCGUAACUAUAACGGUCCUAAGGUAGCGAAAUUCCUAGUCGGGUAAGUUCCGACCUGCACGAAUGGCGUAACGACUUCCCCACUGUCUCAACAGGAGACCCAGCGAAAUUGGUGAGCGCGUGAAGAAACGCGCUACCCGCGGAAGGACGAAAAGACCCCGUGAACCUUUACUGUAGCUUGGCAUUGAGUUUCGAUUAACAUUGCGUAGGAUAGGUGGGAGUUUUCGAUCCGUGCAUUCCGGUGUACGGGGAGACAACCUUGAAAUACCACCCUAUGUUAAUUGGAAUUCUAACCUACGAUCGUAAUCCGGUCGGGGGACAAUGUCUGGUGGGCAGUUUGACUGGGGCGGUCGCCUCCUAAAGAGUAACGGAGGCGCACGAAGGUUCCCUCAGGCCGAAUGGAAACCGGCCAUAGAGUGUAAACGCAUAAGGGAGCUUGACUGUGAGGCAAACGAGCCGAGCAGGUGCGAAAGCAGGUGUUAGUGAUCCGGUGGUUCCGAGUGGAAGGGCCAUCGCUCAACGGAUAAAAGGUACUCCGGGGAUAACAGGCUGAUCUCCCCCAAGAGUUCACAUCGACGGGGAGGUUUGGCACCUCGAUGUCGGCUCAUCGCAUCCUGGGGCUGGAGCAGGUCCCAAGGGUUUGACUGUUCGUCAAUUAAAGCGGUACGCGAGCUGGGUUCAGAACGUCGUGAGACAGUUCGGUCUCUAUCCUCCGUGGGCGUAAGAAAUUUGAGUAAAUCUGACCUUAGUACGAGAGGACCGGGUUGGACGAACCUAUGGUGAACCGGUUAUGACGCCAGUUGUAUCGCCGGGUAGCUAAGUUCGGAAGGGAUAACCGCUGAAAGCAUCUAAGUGGGAAGCCUAUUACAAGAUAAGAUUUCUAUUAAGACAACUUCUAGACUAGGAGUUUGAUAGGUUGGGGGUGUAAGAGUAGUAAUACUUUGAGCUGACCAAUACUAAUUUGUCGUUUUGCUUUUUUUU
Molecule: ribosomal RNA, 2916 nt
Filed under: Bacteriovoracaceae bacterium
Lineage: Bacteria; Pseudomonadati; Bdellovibrionota; Bacteriovoracia; Bacteriovoracales; Bacteriovoracaceae
Description: 23S ribosomal RNA
Rfam family: Bacterial large subunit ribosomal RNA
Source: RNAcentral